CCUACGUGAGGCAGCAGUGGGGGAUAUUGCACAAUGGGGGAAACCCUGAUGCAGCGACGCCGCGUGUGGGAAGACGGUCCUCUGGAUUGUAAACCACUGUCCCCAGGGACGAAGAUGACGGUACUUGGGGAGGACGCUCCGUCUACCUACGUGCCAGCAGCGGCGGUAAUACGGAGGGAGCGAGCGUUGUCCGGAAUUACUGGGUGUAAUGGGAGCGUAGGCGGGGAGGCAAGUUGGGGGUCAAAACUACCGGCUCAACUGGUAGUCGCAAUCGAAACUGCAGCUCUUGAGUGAAGUAGAGGCAGGCGGAAUUCGGAGUGUAGCGGUGAAAUGCGUAGAUAUUAGGAGGAACACCAGUGGCGAAGGCGGCCUGCUGGGCUUUUACUGACGCUGAGGCUCGAAAGUGUGGGGAGCAAACAGGAUUAGAUACCCCUGUAGUC
RNAcentral lists this ribosomal RNA (440 nucleotides) under uncultured bacterium. Its description in RNAcentral is "partial 16S ribosomal RNA". It matches the Rfam family "Bacterial small subunit ribosomal RNA", at positions 338 to 795 of the family's 1533-position model. The record is from RNAcentral.